GCAAAAUCUAGAAGAUUAAACGUUAUAACAUUAAAAGCACAUGCAUGCAUGUAUGCCUAUGAUUGUGGCUGGCUUGGGUUGACUUUGUUCUGGGGCAUCUUAGGUAUGUUGCUGAUGAUGUUAAUGCCACCACCGCCACCGACACCGCUGCCGCUAGCUUACGAUUUCCAGCUAGCUGUUAGUUCUUGUUGCUGUUGAUGAGGAAAACACGAUAGCAAUCAAUUUUAAAGAAGAUGAAACUCCUAAGCAUAGACAAAAAAAGAAGCCACAACACCAAGAUCCAAGCUCAACAUAAUGUCAAGUACAACGAUAUGUGUAGUCAGGGAGGAGAAACCCCAAUACCAAAAAAAAAAGCCACACCAUGGUCUAAGACUUCAAUGUUUUGCAGAUAAGAGUUUGGCUAAAGAAAAUGAAAAACAAUCUUUUAAGAAUGCCCACAAAAUUUCCAGCAAGCAAACAAACACUCAAAAAUUCUACAAUUCAUUUUCAAAAAAAAAAAACUCCAAAAACUUCUUUGAGUGGGGAAAAAAAUCAAAGCUAUUCUAACGCAUUUCCUGGCUUGGAGCUAGUACUACAAUUCAUAAAGUUCAGAAUCUAGUUUAGCUGCCUCUACGCGCCUAGCCAAAAUCAAAACGAAAUUCACGUGCAUCCACAAAAGCAAAAACCAUGGAAAAUACCUCCCAAAGCAAAGCAAAGCGGCAUUUCUUCACUAAGCUUGAAGUUUAUGGUUGAUGAUCAUUUAUAAGAACAUUUUAAGCAAGACGACUGCAUAGUGACCGUCUUGCUUUCUGCCUGUGUUGUUGGAGUAAUCGUAAUGUCUAACUAACUGUCUGAGGCCUGUGAACGUUUAUUUGUUUGCCCAGGCAGAAUAAGAAAAAAUAAGAAAUCUAUUUUCCAAUGCCUACAAUCCAACAUCAAAACUAUUAAAAUAACUUAAAGUCAUCCCAUCUGGCAACUCUUUCAAUGUGCAUGUAUGAUUUUCAUUCGUCUCUUGGACUUUGGUUUGGCCCAUUGAUUAAUGAUGUGAAAUUUUUAACCUUCAUUGUUUUGUAAAUGACCUGCCAGUCAAUCAUGUUGCGUCGUUUUGUCUUGAAACACCAAUGGAGGGAGCCCCCAUGAAAAAGGAAGAAUGAAAAUGUUAACACAACGUCGUCUGCACAGAGGUCUAAGAAAUUAAAACGGCUCAAGAAUCCAUCCAUCCAUCCACACAGCCAUCCAUCGACCAUUGGACCAAUGUUGGGAGUGAAGUGCUGCUUGUUGGCGUUGUUAAUAAGAGUGUCCCAUACUGCUACCCCCAUGAAUAUAUGUGCGACAUCUCACAAUCUUUGUCGCAUCGCACAAAAAAAAAAAACACCAAAAGGGAAGAUACUCACUCACAUUGAUGGAUACGCUAAGGCUCUCCACCAACUGGAAUCGUUCUUCUCCAAUCUGGGAGACCUUUCUGUCUCUAUACCAUCGUUUCUUCAACAAGGAUUAUCUCAAUGGAUCAAAACAGA
Molecule: long non-coding RNA, 1496 nt
Organism: Stomoxys calcitrans (stable fly)
Lineage: Eukaryota; Metazoa; Arthropoda; Insecta; Diptera; Muscidae
Exons: 5
Source: RefSeq, a predicted model, not a curated record